GCCUAAAGGGGCCGUAGCUGGCCUGUUAAAUCCUUUGUGAAAUUGUACAGCUUAACUGUACAGCGUGCAAGGGAGACUGGCAGGCUCGGGACCGGGAGGAGUCAGAAGUAUUCCAUGGGGAGCGGUAAAAUGUGAUAAUCCAUGGAGGACUACCUGUGGCGAAGGCGUCUGACCAGAACGGAUCCGACAGUGAGGGACGAAAGCCAGGGGAGCAAACCGGAUUAGAUACCCGAGUAGUCCUGGCCGUAAACGCUGUGAGCUAGGUGUUGCACUAAUUUCGUGUUGGUGCAGUGUCGAAACGAAGGUGUUAAGCUCACCGCCUGGGAAGUACGGUCGCAAGACUGAAACUUUAAGGAAUUGGCGGGGAAGCACCACAAGGGGUGCGGCGUGCGGUUUAAUCUAACUCAACGCAGAGAACCUUACUAGGGACGAUGGCAGGAUGAAGGCCAGCUUGAAGAGCUUGCUUGACAGGCCAAGAGGUGGUGCAUGGCCGCCGUCAGCUCGUGCUGUGAAGUGUCCUCUUAAGUGAGGUAACGAGCGAGACCUGUAUCUACAAUUGCUAACAGCUGCUUGCAGGACUGAGCACUUUGUAGAGACUGCCUUGGAGACAAGGAGGAAGGUGCAGGCAACGGUAGGUCUGUAUGCCCCGAAUUCCCUAGGCUACACGCGCGCAACAAUGGUAGAGACAAUGGGAUGCAACUCCGAAAGGAGAAGCUAAUCCUCUAAACCCUAUCUUAGUCCAGAUUGAGGCUUGCAACUCAGCCUCAUGACGACGGAAUCCCUAGUAAUCAGAAAGUCAUCAUCUUCUGGUGAAUAUGUCCCUGCUUCUUGUACCCACCGCCCGGU
This 846-nucleotide ribosomal RNA is filed under the name uncultured archaeon. RNAcentral describes it as "bacterial SSU rRNA". It matches the Rfam family "Archaeal small subunit ribosomal RNA", at positions 508 to 1354 of the family's 1478-position model. The record is from RNAcentral.